GUAGUUUAAUUUAGCGUUAACUUGAACUAUCCGGACUUACCCUGUGUCCGAACUUACCCUGAUUAACUAUAUUAUAAUAAUCCUAAAUUAA
Molecule: long non-coding RNA, 91 nt
Organism: Aricia agestis (brown argus)
Lineage: Eukaryota; Metazoa; Arthropoda; Insecta; Lepidoptera; Lycaenidae
Exons: 3
Source: RefSeq, a predicted model, not a curated record